UAGGGAAUAUUGGACAAUGGGGGCAACCCUGAUCCAGCCAUGCCGCGUGAGUGAAGAAGGCCCUCGGGUUGUAAAGCUCUUUUGUCCGGAAAGAAAAGCUUCGGGUUAAUACCCCGGGGUUCUGACGGUACCGGAAGAAUAAGCACCGGCUAACUUCGUGCCAGCAGCCGCGGUAAUACGAAGGGUGCAAGCGUUACUCGGAAUUACUGGGCGUAAAGCGUGCGUAGGUGGUUGUUUAAGUCUGAUGUGAAAGCCCUGGGCUCAACCUGGGAAUGGCAUUGGAAACUGGGCAGCUAGAGUGCGGUAGAGGGUAGUGGAAUUCCCGGUGUAGCAGUGAAAUGCGUAGAGAUCGGGAGGAACAUCUGUGGCGAAGGCGACUGCCUGGACCAGCACUGACACUGAAGCACGAAAGCGUGGGGAGCAAACA
This 427-nucleotide ribosomal RNA is filed under the name uncultured bacterium. RNAcentral's name for it is "bacterial SSU rRNA". It matches the Rfam family "Bacterial small subunit ribosomal RNA", at positions 355 to 774 of the family's 1533-position model. The record is from RNAcentral.